AUUGAACGCUGGCGGCAGGCCUAACACAUGCAAGUCGAGCGGAUGAAGGGAGCUUGCUCCUGGAUUCAGCGGCGGACGGGUGAGUAAUGCCUAGGAAUCUGCCUGGUAGUGGGGGAUAACGUCCGGAAACGGGCGCUAAUACCGCAUACGUCCUGAGGGAGAAAGUGGGGGAUCUUCGGACCUCACGCUAUCAGAUGAGCCUAGGUCGGAUUAGCUAGUUGGUGGGGUAAAGGCCUACCAAGGCGACGAUCCGUAACUGGUCUGAGAGGAUGAUCAGUCACACUGGAAAUGAGACACGGUCCAGAAUCCUACGGGAGGCAGCAGUGGGGAAUAUUGGACAAUGAGCGAAAGCCUGAUCCAGACAUGCCGCGUGUGUGAAGAAGGUCUUCGGAUUGUAAAGCACUUUAAGUUGGGAGGAAGGGCAGUAAGUUAAUACCUUGCUGUUUUGACGUUACCAACAGAAUAAGCACCGGCUAACUCCGG
Molecule: ribosomal RNA, 483 nt
Filed under: uncultured bacterium
Lineage: Bacteria
Description: partial 16S ribosomal RNA
Rfam family: Bacterial small subunit ribosomal RNA
Source: RNAcentral